UACGUAGGGCGCAAGCGUUGUCCGGAAUUAUUGGGCGUAAAGAGCUCGUAGGCGGCUUGUCACGUCGGGUGUGAAAGCCCGGGGCUUAACCCCGGGUCUGCAUUCGAUGCGGGCAGGCUAGAGUGUGGUAGGGGAGAUCGGAAUUCCUGGUGUAGCGGUGAAAUGCGUAGAUAUCAGGAGGAACACCCGAGGCGAAGGCGGCUCUCUGGGUCGUACCUGACGCUGAGGCGCGAAAGCGUGGGGAGCGAACGGG
RNAcentral lists this ribosomal RNA (253 nucleotides) under uncultured bacterium. Its description in RNAcentral is "partial 16S ribosomal RNA". It matches the Rfam family "Bacterial small subunit ribosomal RNA", at positions 524 to 776 of the family's 1533-position model. The record is from RNAcentral.